RNAcentral lists this ribosomal RNA (509 nucleotides) under uncultured Ascomycota. RNAcentral describes it as "eukaryotic LSU rRNA". The stretch from base 176 to 329 matches the Rfam family "5.8S ribosomal RNA". Lineage: Eukaryota; Fungi; Ascomycota. The record is from RNAcentral.
CAUUACAGCAGUUCAUGCCCUUACGGGUAGAUCUCCCACCCUUAUGUUAUCAUCACUUUGUUGCUUUGGCGGGCCGUUAGGCUCACGCCCGACCACCGGCUCCGGCUGGUGAGCGCCCGCCAGAGGACCCAAAACCCUGAUUAUUAGUGUCGUCUGAGUACUAUAUAAUAGUUAAAACUUUCAACAACGGAUCUCUUGGUUCUGGCAUCGAUGAAGAACGCAGCGAAAUGCGAUAAGUAAUGUGAAUUGCAGAAUUCAGUGAAUCAUCGAAUCUUUGAACGCACAUUGCGCCCCUUGGUAUUCCGAGGGGCAUGCCUGUUCGAGCGUCAUUACAACCCUCAAGCCUGGCUUGGUAUUGGGCUCCGCCACUCACCUGGCGGGCCUUAAAAUCAGUGGCGGUGCCGUCGAGGCCCUGAGCGCAGUAAAUGUCCUCGCUAUAGGGACCCGGCGGACGCUGGCCAUCAACCCCCAACUUUCUAAGUUUGACCUCGGAUCAGGUAGGGAUACCC